RNAcentral lists this transfer RNA (73 nucleotides) under Zea mays. It matches the Rfam family "tRNA". Rfam says of the family: Transfer RNA (tRNA) molecules are approximately 80 nucleotides in length. Their secondary structure includes four short double-helical elements and three loops (D, anti-codon, and T loops). Lineage: Eukaryota; Viridiplantae; Streptophyta; Magnoliopsida; Poales; Poaceae. The record is from Rfam by way of RNAcentral.
GCUUGUCUAGCUCAGUUGGCAGAGCACAAGGCUCUUAACCUUAAGGUUGUGGGUUCGAGCCCCAUCGUGAACA